Podarcis muralis (Common wall lizard) is the source of this 2061-nucleotide RNA transcript. It is a transcript of the gene named zinc finger matrin-type 4, with no coding region annotated. The record is from RefSeq and is a predicted model, not a curated record. NCBI's taxonomy places the organism in Eukaryota, Metazoa, Chordata, Lepidosauria, Squamata, Lacertidae.
ACAUGAUUACCAUUUCUCAAAGGGGCUCGCAGGGCACGUGACCUGCUUCCAUUCCAACCUCGGAGAACUUCCUUUGUUUCCCUUGACACCAGUCGGCACAUCGCAAGAUCCGAAGCUUGUCUACAGAACACAUAAUUAGCCUUCCCCAACGCUCUUGAUAACAACAGCAGCUAAACGGAGAGGGAGGCUGCACUAAAGCCGAGAUGGGCCAGCACAGGAUCAACCAACCAAUCGGAGCCCUGGAGGUGGGGCUUGAGAUCCGGCAAAUAAUUACUAAAUGCAUUUCCAGCCCAGUUGGUCUGGGCUGCUGAAAGAUCUGGCUGCAGAGUGAGAGGGGAAGCAGGAAUCUAAGCACCGGUGUUUGUGGAACGCUGCUGUAGCAUCAACCCUGGACUGCCUCCUGCUGCCUCCUUCCUGUCUUCCUUGGUGAAAGCACUUACGAGAAGCAAGUUCUUCUCAGAUGGAUCGGACUGACUUCUUCUUCUUUGGCGAUCCCUCAUAGCCGAAUGAAGUCAUCAGAUAUUGACCAGGAAUUAUUCACAGAAAGCUACUGCAAAGUGUGCAGCGCUCAGCUAAUAUCAGAAUCGCAGCGUGUGGCUCAUUACGAGAGCCGGAAACAUGCCAGCAAAGUUCGUCUCUACUAUAUGCUCCACCCACUAGAUGGAGGCUGUCCUGCGAAGAAGCUGCGGUCAGAAAAUGGCAGCGACAAUGAUUCGGUGGAUAAGAACAAAUGCUGUACGCUCUGUAACAUGUCCUUUACUUCAGCCGUUGUGGCUGAGUCACACUAUCAAGGGAAAAUUCAUGCCAAAAGAUUAAAACUGUUGCUAGGAGAGCAGCCAACGUUAAAGGCCACAGAGACCAACCUGAGUUCCCUAAAGCAGUCACACCUGGAUAGUUCUCCUGUGGUGUCUUCGCCCCAUCAGAGAAGAGACUCUGACAGGUACUGCCAGCUUUGCACAGCUUGGUUUAAUAACCCAAUGAUGGCACAGCAACACUAUGACGGGAAGAAGCACAAAAAGAAUGCGGCCAGGGCAGAUUUACUAGAGCAACUAGGGAAGACGCUGGAUCUAGGCGAGUUAAGAGGUUGUAAGCAUGAAGGUCCCAGAUUGCUGCUGUCUGACAUGAAGAUGGUCAGAUGUACCAGUGCUCAAGACAAAGCAAAAGGGGGAAGCAAUGUCUUAAGCGGAGCUAUACUUGUAACAUCUGCAAUGUCACUCUAAACUCCAUAGAACAGUAUCACGCACACCUGAAGGGGUCCAAACAUCAGACCAACCUGAAGAACCAGUAGGCGGUCAUCCAAGACAGUGACAUUUUACCACCACAGUUUCUUCUCCAAAGAAGAGCUAUGUUGACUAUGACUAGGAGGCUUUCUGGGACAAUGAGCACUUCCUGUGUGGCAUCAUUAAUGUGUAGCUAAUCUUUGCUUUGGACAAUGAAUGGAUUUUAAUUUUAUUUUUAUUUUGUGGUGCAUAACAAGAUUCAGAUGGAUUUUUUUACCCUUGCAGAUAAGUCUAUAUAUAUUCAACAUGAAAUCAAGAGAGUAUGUUUAAAAAUGUAAAAUAUAUCUUCAGAGACCAUUGGAAUAAAAUAUUUUUUUCUUUUUUCAUAUUUAUUCUUAGAUUUCUUCAGAGAGUAUAAGAUCCUAUUAAAUAGUCCAUGAUUGUGAUGUAAGUAACGAGUCUUCAGCAAGAAAUAAACAUGAUGUCUUCACCACAUUCUGCAUACUUCUUGUCGUCUGCACUGAGAGGGGGAGAAAAAAAUGGCUCUUGACCUUUGGAAUGUAGACUGGAGACAGGUAGAAAAGAUUUGGAAGUAGAUGGAGAGAAGCAUCACUUCCUGUAGUACAUACUGGAGUCAUGCCCUCUGGUGUCCUUCUAGAAGUUGUUGGACUUCAACUUCCAUCAGUCCCAGGCAGCAUGACGAACCAUCAUCAGGUAUGAUGGAAAAUUCAAUCCAACAACAUCUGGAAAACCACAGCUUUGCCAUCCCUAUCAGCCCCCUGCUCCCCCCGAAACACUGUGACUUCUGGUCAAACAGGAUACCUACUUACACUUUUUCCAU